GACGAACGCUGGCGGCGUGCUUAACACAUGCAAGUCGAACGAUGAAGCCGGAGCUUGCUCCGGUGGAUUAGUGGCGAACGGGUGAGUAACACGUGAGCAAUCUGCCCUUGGCUCUGGGAUAACUGCGGGAAACUGUAGCUAAUACCGGAUACGACACCUUGGGGCAUCCCAGGGUGUGGAAAGAAUUUCGGCCAAGGAUGAGCUCGCGGCCUAUCAGCUAGUUGGUGAGGUAAUGGCUCACCAAGGCGACGACGGGUAGCCGGCCUGAGAGGGUGACCGGCCACACUGGAACUGCGACACGGUCCAGACUCCUACGGGAGGCAGCAGUGGGGAAUAUUGCACAAUGGGCGAAAGCCUGAUGCAGCAACGCCGCGUGAGGGAUGAAGGCCUUCGGGUUGUAAACCUCUUUUAGCAGGGAAGAAGCGAAAGUGACGGUACCUGCAGAAAAAGCACCGGCUAACUACGUGCCAGCCGCCGCGGUAA
RNAcentral lists this ribosomal RNA (483 nucleotides) under uncultured bacterium. RNAcentral's name for it is "partial 16S ribosomal RNA". It matches the Rfam family "Bacterial small subunit ribosomal RNA", at positions 28 to 523 of the family's 1533-position model. The record is from RNAcentral.